GAUGAAGAACGUAGCGAAAUGCGAUAAGUAAUGCGAAUUGCAGAAUUUCCGUGAAUCAUCGAAUCUUUGAACGCACAUUGCGCCCUUUGGUAUUCCAAAGGGCAUGCCUGUUCGAGCGUCAUUUGUACCCUCAAGCUUUGCUUGGUGUUGGGCGUCUUGUCUCUAGCUUUGCUGGAGACUCGCCUUAAAGUAAUUGGCAGCCGGCCUACUGGUUUCGGAGCGCAGCACAAGUCGCACUCUCUAUCAGCAAAGGUCUAGCAUCCAUUAAGCCUUUUUUUCAACUUUUGACCUCGGAUCAGGUAGGGAUACCCGCUGAACUUAAGCAUAUCAAUAAGCGGAGGA
This 342-nucleotide unclassified non-coding RNA is filed under the name soil metagenome. RNAcentral describes it as "partial contains 5.8S ribosomal RNA, internal transcribed spacer 2, and large subunit ribosomal RNA". The stretch from base 1 to 121 matches the Rfam family "5.8S ribosomal RNA", at positions 35 to 154 of the family's 154-position model. The record is from RNAcentral.